CAGAUCGUUUACUUUUUUCAGAUGAGCCGUGUAAGACGGCUCAGAACGAAUAGUGCUUCUCGAUACCGGCCGCCGCCGAGGACAGCUACACUCCGUCCCCCACUCCCGAUGAAGGCUGCGGCGGCUCCACACGGAAGAUGACGACGCUGGCAUAGAGUUCCUGCUGGACGCGGUUAACAGAUUUCCCCUCCGGGGAGAAUUCGCGGGCAGCUUGGACCACCUAGAUCCGGUUCCUCUGGCGGGGCUCCCGAGGAUUGAUGGCACCCGCGUUGAGCCGGCUGACUCGAACGCUGGGUCUGGGUGUGGGCACCAUAUUGACAGCGCUAACCAAGGGCGCCCAGAUGCCAACGAGAUUCGCACAAUCUACCGAGAGGGUGAAUUCGGAGGCACCUGGAUGGGCAAAAAGGUUACAUCUAGGGAGCACGCCGCCUGAUAGAACCCCAUGCCCAUCUAGGAUGAGUGCCCUAGAGCAGUCAAUCCGCAAGUAUGCAGAGGAACCAACGAAAAGUGUAGUUCGUCCUGAAGUGGGACGGAGUUUCGACUUACUCGGCGAGGCGUACGACUUCUACAAUUUGUAUUCAUGGGAGAUUGGUUUUGGCAUAAGGGGAAGCUAGAGACAGAGAACAACAGAUGAUGGUGUUGGGAACACGCUGAAAGUGUUUGCUGAGAUGUUGCAAGUGACCCGGACUUCACGUACAGAGUUCUUGCUGAUAGUGAUAGCAGGGUUAAGAAUCUGAUGUGGACAAAUGGAAAUAGUCAGAUGCAGUACCGACGCUUUGGCGAUGUCGUUACAUUCGACACGAGUUGGAAUAAAAGUAAUUCUCUUUUUAUUUCUUCUAGUUUGAUCAAUGAUGGCAUCAUAGGGUGCAUCUAAUGUCAAUUCCAGAUAUUUUAAAGUUCACAGCCAUAUCCUGUGAAAUUUAAAUCAAAAAGGCAUUUAGAAUACAGAUACAUGAUAACAUCA
Long non-coding RNA from Triticum aestivum (bread wheat), 964 nucleotides. RefSeq lists it as uncharacterized. The record is from RefSeq and is a predicted model, not a curated record. NCBI's taxonomy places the organism in Eukaryota, Viridiplantae, Streptophyta, Magnoliopsida, Poales, Poaceae. The transcript has 4 exons.